CCCUUAGAUGUUCUGGGCCGCACGCGCGCUACACUGUUCGACGCAGCGAGUCUUAACCUUGACCGAAAGGUUUGGGUAAUCUUCAGCAAAGUCGAACGUGAUGGGGAUCGAUCAUUGCAAUUAUUGAUCGUGAACGAGGAAUUCCUAGUAAGUGCAAGUCAUCAGCUUGCGCUGAUUACGUCCCUGCCCUUUGUACACACCGCCCGUCGCUACUACCGAUUGAAUGGUUUAGUGAGAUCGCUGGAUUGACGCUGGCUAGGGGGCGACCCUUGGCCAGACUGUUGAGAAACUGCUCAAACUUGAUCAUUUAGAGGAAGUAAAAGUCGUAACA
RNAcentral lists this ribosomal RNA (331 nucleotides) under uncultured eukaryote. RNAcentral describes it as "partial 18S ribosomal RNA". It matches the Rfam family "Eukaryotic small subunit ribosomal RNA", at positions 1470 to 1796 of the family's 1831-position model. The record is from RNAcentral.